RNAcentral lists this transfer RNA (69 nucleotides) under Teuthowenia megalops. Its description in RNAcentral is "tRNA-Glu". It matches the Rfam family "tRNA". From Rfam's summary of the family: Transfer RNA (tRNA) molecules are approximately 80 nucleotides in length. Their secondary structure includes four short double-helical elements and three loops (D, anti-codon, and T loops). Further hydrogen bonds mediate the characteristic L-shaped molecular structure. tRNAs have two regions of fundamental functional importance: the anti-codon, which is responsible for specific mRNA codon recognition, and the 3' end, to which the tRNAs corresponding amino acid is attached (by aminoacyl-tRNA synthetases). tRNAs cope with the degeneracy of the genetic code in two manners: having more than one tRNA (with a specific anti-codon) for a particular amino acid; and 'wobble' base-pairing, i.e. permitting non-standard base-pairing at the 3rd anti-codon position. The record is from RNAcentral. Lineage: Eukaryota; Metazoa; Mollusca; Cephalopoda; Oegopsida; Cranchiidae.
GUUCUUAUAGUGUAGUUAAGCACAUAAGAUUUUCAAUCUUUUAGUAUAUAGUGUAAAAUAUUAAGAAUU